AAUUAAUGAGCUUGAUAUAAGCAUAAGUUUUGAAAACUUAAGAAAGAAACUACUUUUCUAUUAAUUU
This 67-nucleotide transfer RNA is filed under the name Glossosoma caudatum. RNAcentral describes it as "tRNA-Ser". Lineage: Eukaryota; Metazoa; Arthropoda; Insecta; Trichoptera; Glossosomatidae. The record is from RNAcentral.